Non-coding RNA from Python bivittatus (Burmese python), 437 nucleotides. The record is from RefSeq and is a predicted model, not a curated record. Lineage: Eukaryota; Metazoa; Chordata; Lepidosauria; Squamata; Pythonidae.
AUCUUUUCUUCACUUUACUUUUAUCCCAGUUGUUCAGAAGGAAUUCCACUGGUGGUUUUGCUGAAGUUCUGCUCUGAAGGAGAUAAUAUCCCUGAUGCGCUUGCACUUGCUGACUACCUGAAUGAAUCUUUACAACUAAUUGCACCUCAAAGUAGCAGUUCUCAAGCAAAAUCUUCACGGUGGAAAAUACCAAGUUCCUGGAAAUUACUUUUUGGCAGCGGACUCCCAUCUUCAUUGUUUUAAAUCAUAUAUUGUUUUCUAUAUAGCCUACUUGUAUACAAUCCAAAUUGUAUUUUGGAAUCUACAGGUCUGUGUCAUCUUACAUGAAACUAGUGAUCAUUUGUCAUGGAUAUUUUAACUUACUUUAGCAAACUUAUUAUAUCAAAACUGGACAACAUUUCACAAAAAAUAAAGCCUUUGCAUAUUUUUGGUUUAAA